This is a non-coding RNA of Macaca mulatta (Rhesus monkey), 1070 nucleotides long. The record is from RefSeq and is a predicted model, not a curated record. NCBI's taxonomy places the organism in Eukaryota, Metazoa, Chordata, Mammalia, Primates, Cercopithecidae.
AUGUCGGUUUCUAACAAGCUGACCCUGGACAAGCUGGACGUGAAAGGGAAGCCAGUCAUUAAGAGAGUCGACUUCAAUGUUCCUAUGAAGAACAACCAGAUAACAAACAACCAGAGGAUUAAGGCUGCUGUCCCAAGCAUCAAAUUCUGCUUGGACAAUGGAUCCAAGUCAGUAGUUCUUACGAGACACCUAGGCCGGCCUGAUGGUGUCCGUAUGUCUGACAAGUACUCCUUAGAGCCAGUUGCUGCAGAACUCAAAUCUCUGCUGGGCAAAGAUGUUCUGUUCUUGAAGGACUGUGUAGGCCCAGAAGUGGAGAAAACCUGUACCAACCCAGCUGCUGGGUCUGUCAUCCUGCAGGAGAACCUCCGCUUUCAGGUGGAGGAAGAGGGAAAGGAAAAGAUGCUUCCGGAAACAAGGCUAAAGCCGAGCCAGCCAAAUUAGAAGCUUUCCAAGCUUCACUUCCCAAGUUAGGGGAUGUCUAUGUCAGUGAUGCUUUUGGCACUGCUCACAGAGCCCACAGCUCCAUGGCAGAAGUCAAUCUGCCACAGAAGGCUGGUGGUUUUUUAAUGAAGAAGGAGCUGAACUACUUUGCCAAGGACUUGGAGAGCCCAGAGCGACACUUUCUGGCCAUCCUGGGCAGAGCUAAAGUUGCAGACGAGAUCCAGCUGAUCAACAAUAUGCUGGACAAAGUCAAUGAGAUGAUUAUUGGUGGUGGAAUGGCUUUUACCUUCCUUAAGGUGCUCAACAACAUGGAGAUUGGCACUUCUCUGUUUGAUGAAGAGGGAGCCAAGAUUGUCAAAGACCUAAUGUCUAAAGCUGAGAAGAAUGGUGUGAAGAUUAUCUUGCCUGUUGACUUUGUCGCUGCUGUCAAGUUUGAUGAGAAUGCCAAGACCGGCCAAGCCACUGUGGCUUCUGGCAUAUCUGCUGGCAGGAUGGGCUUGGACUGUGGUCCUGAAAGCAGCAAGAAGUAUGCUGAGGCUGUCACUUGGGCUAAGCAGAUUGUGUGGAAUGGUCCUGUGGGGGUUUUUGGGGUUUGGGGGCUGAAUCUUGACAUGGAAGCUUUUAGCUAA